RNAcentral lists this ribosomal RNA (477 nucleotides) under uncultured organism. RNAcentral's name for it is "partial 16S ribosomal RNA". It matches the Rfam family "Bacterial small subunit ribosomal RNA", at positions 333 to 801 of the family's 1533-position model. The record is from RNAcentral.
ACACUCCUACGGGAGGCAGCAGUGGGGAAUUUUGGACAAUGGGCGAAAGCCUGAUCCAGCAAUGCCGCGUGUGUGAAGAAGGCCUUCGGGUUGUAAAGCACUUUUGUCCGGAAAGAAAUCCUUGGCUCUAAUACAGUCGGGGGAUGACGGUACCGGAAGAAUAAGCACCGGCUAACUACGUGCCAGCAGCCGCGGUAAUACGUAGGGUGCGAGCGUUAAUCGGAAUUACUGGGCGUAAAGCGUGCGCAGGCGGUUUGCUAAGACCGAUGUGAAAUCCCCGGGCUCAACCUGGGAACUGCAUUGGUGACUGGCAGGCUAGAGUAUGGCAGAGGGGGGUAGAAUUCCACGUGUAGCAGUGAAAUGCGUAGAGAUGUGGAGGAAUACCGAUGGCGAAGGCAGCCCCCUGGGCCAAUACUGACGCUCAUGCACGAAAGCGUGGGGAGCAAACAGGAUUAGAAACCCUAGUAGUCCCAUGAU